This 467-nucleotide ribosomal RNA is filed under the name uncultured bacterium. Its description in RNAcentral is "partial 16S ribosomal RNA". It matches the Rfam family "Bacterial small subunit ribosomal RNA", at positions 28 to 507 of the family's 1533-position model. The record is from RNAcentral.
GAUGAACGCUGGCGGCGUGCUUAACACAUGCAAGUCGAACGGAAAGGCCCAAGCUUGCUUGGGUACUCGAGUGGCGAACGGGUGAGUAACACGUGGGUGAUCCGCCCUGCACUUCGGGAUAAGCCUGGGAAACUGGGUCUAAUACUGGAUAGGACCACUUCUUGGAUGUUGUGGUGGAAAGUUUUUUCGGUGUGGGAUGAGCUCGCGGCCUAUCAGCUUGUUGGUGGGGUAAUGGCCUACCAAGGCGUCGACGGGUAGCCGGCCUGAGAGGGUGUACGGCCACAUUGGGACUGAGAUACGGCCCAGACUCCUACGGGAGGCAGCAGUGGGGAAUAUUGCACAAUGGGCGCAAGCCUGAUGCAGCGACGCCGCGUGGGGGAUGACGGCCUUCGGGUUGUAAACUCCUUUCGCUAGGGACGAAGCGUUUUGUGACGGUACCUGGAGAAGAAGCACCGGCUAACUACGUG